RNAcentral lists this ribosomal RNA (254 nucleotides) under uncultured bacterium. Its description in RNAcentral is "partial 16S ribosomal RNA". It matches the Rfam family "Bacterial small subunit ribosomal RNA", at positions 524 to 776 of the family's 1533-position model. The record is from RNAcentral.
CACGUAGGGCGCGAGCGUUGUCCGGAUUUAUUGGGCGUAAAGAGCUCGUAGGCGGUUCCGUAAGUCGUGAAGUCAAAUCUCUGGGCUCAACCCAGAAUCGCUUCCGAUACUGCGGUGACUGGAGUCCGGUAGGGGAGUGUGGAAUUCCUGGUGUAGCGGUGAAAUGCGCAGAUAUCGGGAGGAACACCGGUGGCGAAGGCGGUUCUCUGGGCCUUACCUGACGCUGAGGAGCGAAAGCGUGGGGAGCGAACAGG